This 234-nucleotide ribosomal RNA is filed under the name uncultured bacterium. Its description in RNAcentral is "partial 16S ribosomal RNA". It matches the Rfam family "Bacterial small subunit ribosomal RNA", at positions 794 to 1023 of the family's 1533-position model. The record is from RNAcentral.
UCCACGCUGUAAACGAUGUCUACUAGGUUGUGGAAGUUCUGACGCUUGCACGGCCGAAGCAAAAGUGAUAAGUAGACCGCCUGGGGAGUACGGUCGCAAGGCUAAAACUCAAAGGAAUUGACGGGGGCUCACACAAGCGGUGGAGCAUGUGGAUCAAUUCGAAGCAACGCGCAGAACCUUACCUGGGUUUGACAUGCUUGGAUGCCGCCUUGGAAACAGGGUUGGUUGCCCUUC